This 424-nucleotide ribosomal RNA is filed under the name uncultured bacterium. RNAcentral describes it as "bacterial SSU rRNA". It matches the Rfam family "Bacterial small subunit ribosomal RNA", at positions 355 to 796 of the family's 1533-position model. The record is from RNAcentral.
CGAGGAAUUUUGCGCAAUGGGCGGAAGCCUGACGCAGCAACGCCGCGUGGGUGAGGAAGGCCUUCGGGUCGUAAAGCCCUUUUCUCGGGGACGACGGCGACGGUACCCGAGGAAUCAGCCACGGCUAACUACGUGCCAGCAGCCGCGGUAAUACGUAGGUGGCGAGCGUUGUCCGGAUUUAUUGGGCGUAAAGCGCGCGCAGGCGGUCGGCUAAGUCUGCUGUGAAAUCUCCCGGCUCAACUGGGAGGGGGCGGCGGAGACUGGCUGACUGGAGGGGCUCAGAGGCCGGUGGAAUUCCCGGUGUAGUGGUGAAAUGCGUAGAGAUCGGGAGGAACACCUGUGGCGAAGGCGGCCGGCUGGGGGUGCCCUGACGCUGAGGCGCGACCGCGUGGGGAGCGAACCGGAUUAGAUACCCGCGUAGUCC